Picea glauca (white spruce) is the source of this 122-nucleotide non-coding RNA. The record is from Rfam. Lineage: Eukaryota; Viridiplantae; Streptophyta; Pinopsida; Pinales; Pinaceae.
ACAUGCUUACAACAUAACGUUAAUGCACCAGAUCCCAUUAGAACUUUGUAGUUAAGCGCACUUGGGCUAGAGUAGUACUAGGAUGGGUGACCUCCAAGGGAAGUCCUAGUGUUUUACAUGCC